ACGAUGUUGGUUAAGUCCCGCAACAGCGCAACCCUUCGCCGUUUUAGUUUGGCCAGCAUUCAGUUUGGGGCACUCUACGAGGGACUGGCCGGUGGUCAAACCGGAGGAAGGUGGGGAUGACGUCAAGUCCUCAUGGCCUUUAUGUCUAGGGCUACACACGUACUACAAUGGCCGGUACAAAGGGCAGCCACUCAGCGAUGAGGCGCUAAUCCCAUAAAGCCGGUCUCAGUCCGGAUCGCAGUCUGCAACUCGACUGCGUGAAGUUGGAAUCGCUAGUAAUCGUAGAUCAGCAUGCUACGGUGAAUACGUUCCCGGGCCUU
RNAcentral lists this ribosomal RNA (320 nucleotides) under uncultured Desulfovibrio sp. RNAcentral describes it as "bacterial SSU rRNA". It matches the Rfam family "Bacterial small subunit ribosomal RNA", at positions 1069 to 1382 of the family's 1533-position model. Lineage: Bacteria; Pseudomonadati; Thermodesulfobacteriota; Desulfovibrionia; Desulfovibrionales; Desulfovibrionaceae. The record is from RNAcentral.